UGAGUUAUUCCAAAUUUCAAAUGGAGAACAAGCACCACAAAUUUAAGCACAUUAAAGAGGGGCAGGCCAGUGUAUUGUAGAAGGUGCACAGAUGUCCAGAGACUAGAAAACUUGCAUGGAAGAUUAGGAAGGAAAAGUAGAAAGAUAAGCCAGAUAUAGAAAGAAAAUGGAAGGAAAAAAGCAUCAUAGGAAAUAUUGAACCAUAUACUCCCUCCCCGCUCCAGUGAAAUCAUGCUGCAGAUGUCCAGAGCAGCCCUGCGUUGGUUUAGCUGGUUUAGCUGGUUUAUGCUGGGUGUGUUUGGAGGUGUUCACAUGUUCUCUUCCACCCAAAGUGCUAAAAGGUUGCAACACCCUGGUUUUCACGGGGCCAAGCUCUGCACGCUGUCAUGUAGACGUGCAGAGCUCUGUUUUUUUGGUUGAACAUCUCCACGUUUGUGUCAAACCUCAUAGCACCAGAAUUAAAAGCAAACCAAUAUAAACCACAACACAUAAGAACAAGGUGUACGAGCUGCUGCUGCGGGUGGCCAGGGGCAUGCAGUGAGAGGAGUGCACGGGUGGUCACAGCACGUAGCCAAAAUGUCAUCUGGCCCUGUGGUCUUGGGGUUUUUACAUCUCACUGAGUUUCACUCAGCAGAAUUUUGUACAGAAUUCCCUAGGUUUCUCAUUUCUGCUCUCCAUUGUACCCUUGGUAACAGUGCAAGGGGAGAAAUGACCAAAAACCUCAUCCUACCGAGCAGUUCCUUGGGGCCCCACCACAUGAGCUCUAUCAUGAAAGUCUUUUUUUGUUAUUUUGUUUUAAAGCCGGGGCUUGGGGAGCUCUGCAUAGUUGGAGUUUGGCUGGUCACCGUGGGCAGGUCAUUGUUCCGGCUGCUUGAGGUGCUGCAGGUGUGCCGUGCUGCAUGCAGCAAAGGGUGGCCUGCUGGUGGUGAUGGUCCCUCUGCUCUCAGGUGCCUGUGUGAGGCCAUCUGUGUGCAGCAGAAGACUUGCUCUACAGCUAUCGCAGAUGAGUUCUUCCUUCAGCUGAAGCCCCACGUCAGACCAUGCGGUGCCUCUUGCUGGAGCGGUGAGUGGCUCAGAGGGCAUGGCACGCACAGCGUGUGCCAGAGCCUCGCUAGUGAAAAACAGCAGCCCCGGGGGGGUCACUGGUACAGGGCACCCCAUGACACUUCAUCACCCCCCCUGCUUUUACUCGCAUCCUGAAUUUUAAACACCCCCAAGUACUAAUGACUUCAGGUCUGCUCCUAAAAGAAACCUGAGAAGAUUAAAACUGCAAUAGCAGUGAUAGACUCAUCUGUAAUAAAAGUCAAGGGCCCCGUUAACCA
This 1322-nucleotide long non-coding RNA is filed under the name Anser brachyrhynchus (Pink-footed goose). Its description in RNAcentral is "lncRNA (ENSABRG00000006586.1)". Lineage: Eukaryota; Metazoa; Chordata; Aves; Anseriformes; Anatidae. The record is from RNAcentral.